AUUGAACGCUGGCGGCAUGCCUUACACAUGCAAGUCGAACGGCAGCGCGGGGCAACCUGGCGGCGAGUGGCGAACGGGUGAGUAAUAUAUCGGAACAUACCCUAGAGUGGGGGAUAACGUAGCGAAAGUUACGCUAAUACCGCAUACGCACUAAGGUGGAAAGUGGGGGAUUCGCAAGAACCUCAUGCUCAUGGAGUGGCCGAUAUCUGAUUAGCUAGUUGGUGAGGUAAAGGGCUCACCAAGGCAACGAUCAGUAGCUGGUUUGAGAGAACGACCAGCCACACUGGAACUGAGACACGGUCCAGACUCCUACGGAGGCAGCAGUGGGGAAUUUUUGGACAAUGGGGGCAACCCUGAUCCAACAAUGCCGCGUGAGUGAAGAAGG
Molecule: ribosomal RNA, 385 nt
Filed under: uncultured bacterium
Lineage: Bacteria
Description: bacterial SSU rRNA
Rfam family: Bacterial small subunit ribosomal RNA
Source: RNAcentral